GAAUUACAGCACCUCCCAAGCUGUCGCUUAUGACAGGCCUCGCCCUGCUCUGAAUCUUCAGGGGGCUCUCUCACCUGUGGCUGCUGUUUCCGGGCUUGGUGUUCACAGCGCCUUGUUGUUUCAGGCUUCCUAAACACUGGGACCCACUGAUACACAAGGCGCCACCCUCUCCCCGGUUUUCUUCCUCAGACCUCCUUGACAGCCACAAAGUUUCUGGUGUUGACACACUGGCAGGACUUCCCUUGCAUGGGGCAGGCCACCCUGGAGUCAAGGCCUGCGCUUCUGAGAUGAAGCUCUGGGAUUCCAGGAAGGGGGCUCCCUACCUCCUCAGCUGGAAGUGGCUCCUGAGUGCCCACCACAGGAGGAAUUCCCUACAAAUCAUCUGAAUCUUGCCUCUUUCUUCAGCUACUGAUUUUGUCCUUUUUCUGACCAAGAAGAGCAUGUCUUCUUUUCUGCCCCUUGACUGGAGCUGAGAUCGGCACAGCGGGUUUGGCCUCACAGCCUGUCUCAGGCCCUCUGAGGAAUCACGUCCAGCCCAAGGCAGACGCAUGGAGAGGGAAGGGCGGGGUG
Bos taurus (domestic cattle) is the source of this 570-nucleotide long non-coding RNA. The record is from Ensembl. NCBI's taxonomy places the organism in Eukaryota, Metazoa, Chordata, Mammalia, Artiodactyla, Bovidae.